CAUGCUUGUAGCUUUUGGUGUAGUGGUGGCUGUUGCAAGCGGAUCCAGUGCUGAUCAGAUGCUAUCUGGAUUUGAGUUCAUCUGGCCGGCUGUAAUGAUAAUAUCAAGUGCUUUUCAAGCUGGUGCAUCUAUCAUAAUAUUUGUGGAUGCUGCAAAACGCUUAAAGGGAAAGUCACUUGACAUAUUUGUUGUCAAUUCUUUUGGUUCUGGAUUUCAGGCUCUUUUUGUGCUCCUCCUCCUACCUUUAUUGUCAAACUUAAAAGGCAUACCCUUUGCUCAACUUCCUUCAUAUAUGAAAAGUGGUGCUGGUUGCUUAGUGAAUAUUGGAAGAAAUAUACCAGGCUGCAAUGGCGCUCCAUUGCUUCCACUGCUUUACGUAACUAUGAAUAUGGCUUUCAACGUAUCAUUGCUCAAUCUGGUGAAAAUUUCUUCUGCAGUUGUUGCCUCUCUUGCUGUAAUGUUGUCAGUGCCAAUAUCAAUUUAUGUGUUAUCUCUUCCAUUGCCAUAUCUUCCUGAGGGUGCAAGUUUGAGCCCAUUUUUUCUGCUCGGUAGUAUGAUCCUUA
RNAcentral lists this unclassified non-coding RNA (563 nucleotides) under Hevea brasiliensis (rubber tree). The record is from RNAcentral. Lineage: Eukaryota; Viridiplantae; Streptophyta; Magnoliopsida; Malpighiales; Euphorbiaceae.